GUCUUCACUCAUUUUGUCGCCCCUCCCUCUCUCAUUCGAUAAUAUUCAAUUAUUUUUCUUUAAAUAUUUCACCCCAAAGCUAUGCCUCAUUUUAAGUAUUGUAACUCCCAAUCACCGCUACCCUUUCCGAUUGAUCUGAGCCUCAGGGCUCUGCCUGACUAAGUUGUUGGGAUUUAGUCUCGGGAUUUCGGGACAAGGUUGAUUUAGGGGUACUAUACUUAUCACGAAUACAUUAUAUAUUUUUAAUAGCCCAAAAGUUAUACCCAAAAUUUAUACCAGGAAUCCUUCUAGUUGAACCCUAAAGUUACACAGUGGGUCCAUCCCUUUUUCUCACCAUUUUAUUCUCUUUUUGUGAGUUACCCAAAACUAUUAUUUAUUAUUUAUUUUAUAAACAAACUUUCAUCAAUAGUCAUGCCUAUUAUUUUAUUUACCCAAUAGGGAACCAUAGUUGAGACACCCAAGUAAUCCUGCACAACCCCUAAAAUUUCCAGAACAAUCAGAAUCAGGAUCAGGGCCCCUAAAACUCAGGGGGGCAAAACCCUAGUUACGAUAAUCUAAAUAACUUUCUGGCCGUUUAGAAUUUUAUAAUUUCAUCGACUCAGCUAAGCUACUUAGACACGAAGCUACCUAUAGAAAAUAGGUUACCACUCGCGUAGCGCGACGCCCAUGGGGGGUACCCCUCGCGCUACGCGACGGUGUCAAAAUUCGGGUAUAAAUAGAGGGGGUUGGGACUUGAAAUCUGUCUUUGGAACGACGUAAAUCCGAGUUACGUAGAUCAAGUUAUCACAGAAACAGUCCAACACACACACACACUAAUAUCGAAUCGCUGCCGCAGAACAGGGUAAUUACUCGAUCGCUAUUACGAUUCAGUUUCCGGGAUCAAUAUACCCAAAGAAUGUCUAAGUGCCGCCCACAUUGGGUUAUGCUUUGUCGUUGUCGAUAAUUCGAUAAUGAGUUGAAGCAUUGUACUUUGUCGUUGUCGAUAAUUCGAUAAUGAGUUGAAGUACUAUACUUUGUCGUUUGUCAUUUUGAUAAAUGAGUUGAAGUAUUUCACUUGGUCAUUCAUUGUGAGAAUUUGAUCUCGGGAAAUUAUCGUAACUGCUGUAUUGAGCAUUAACCCGGUUUUUGUGAAAUUCGUUAAGGUUGAUUUAGGUUUUUCACCAAUACGUAUUCCAUUAUGUUAAACCACCAGAAAUACUCCCAACUACACCCUUACAAUCAAAUAAACUAUUAAAUCAUCAGAAGAUCCAGAAUAAUAAAGUGCAUGCUUAAUUAUCUGAAGAAAUAGAAUCAAGAAGUUGUUAACUCAAUCCUGCAUGCUGAUUUGUAAUUACAGUAGAUUGGAGUAAGGAUUGGAUCCGGCACUAAAAGACUUCAAGAAGUGGCUUAUUUUAUUAAUUACAUCAAAUUAAAAAGUAUUGUUUUUAUUAAAAGCUACCUUUGUAAAAUUUGGAAUUUAUUCCAUCCAUUUAAAUAAAACCCGGUGUUUCUAAACUCUGAUAUUUUUCCUAACUCACGGUCCUGAUGAAAUUUCCGCUGCAAUGUUUUUCAAAAUAAUCACCGGUACCACUGGACUGCUCGCGACUUCCGAUUCCGACCAGGAUGGGAUCGGGGGUCGUGACAGAAAAGGUGGUAUCAGAGCUAAGCCACUGCUUUAAGCUUAUAAGUGUUGUGAUAAUAAUACUUACGCUUAAAUAAAAGAGUUAGGAGAUUACUAUUACUAUUAACUGGUAGCACAUCUGAUAGCGUUUAGACUUGAACAUAAGAAAAGAUGCCUUAGUAUAAGCUAAGCCACUUGUUUAUGCAAAUAGGUGUUAUAAUAAUACCUAAGUUUAAACGGAGAAUUAGAAACUUAAUAUUAUCUGAUAGCACUCUGAAUGAUAUUUAGACUCGAACUUAAGAAUUUUGUCUUAAUAUAAAUUUCAAGAUAAAAUUUCUUAUAUAAGUAUAAAUAAGUAUAAUUGGUAUUCCAUAAGAAUAACGACUAGCAGGCAAUAGCAUUUAAUUGCCAUUUAUUCUUGUUUAUUGGUAUUAUUUGGUCUAGAAUAAGAUAUGUUAUGGGAAUACAAAUUUCCUUGAUUCUGGAUAAAAGUCCUAAUAAAAAAAGACACUUUUAAAAUCUUGAAAAGAUACUAUUUAUGGGAAAUAGAAAAUUUUCUCCGGCAAAACUGGGUAUAGAGUAGCAGACUCUCCAGCUUGUCCGGAUAUACUGAGGUUACCUCUCCGGCGCGAACCGGGUAAGAUGGGGUAUAAAUGUCAAAACAAGUGACAAGAUUUCCCUAAAUAAGUAUCAUGGCCUGAUAUCAGACUUGUUUUUGGAAAUAAGAAUCUGUUAAAUACAUUAACCUUAUAAAGGGUAUGUAUAUUACAGCAUGUAACACAUAUGAUUAUAUAGAUAUGUAUAUUUAUAAGAAAUUUCAAAAGCCAUAACAAUUGAUAAAUAAGGAUAAAGCACAAGUAUAUGUGUUAACAAUAAAUCUAGAUUCCUUUAUCAAAGAAUCUCUUACCUAUAUUGAUAUCAAACAUUAUUUUGUUUAAUCAUCUACCUCGUAACUCGAGCAACCAUAAUAAAUGGAAACCCAUUAAGUUGGGACACCAUAAGAAUUACCAAUGCGUUACCAUAAAUUAUUAACGCCAUAAAUUAUGAACGCAAGUAAGAGGCAUGUAAAGUUGUGCUAAUGCACAAGAAAACACAUGAAACUUAAAUUAUACGUCCACAGACGUCAAAGUUUAUCACACACAACUUCCAAGGCAAGACCUUUGCAAAAUAUAAAUUAGGCACGAUGACACCAAUAUUAAUUCCGUCGGUAAAAGUACUACUAAUCAAAAAGCGGUAUUUUGCCACAUGAUCUUACAAACGAUCAAAAUUUCGUUAAAGUACAUUGGAACAAUAUUUCACAAACAUCGGUGCAUAGACUAACCUGAGGCAUAAUUAUUAGCACUACAAAAGAAGUCAUAUAUUUUUGCAAAUCCCCUAUUUCAUUUCACUUCAUUUGACAUUCUCUGAUAAUGUCAUUUAACAAAUAAUUAUCACACGAAAUUCCAGAUAAGAAGUUCCUUCGUUGCAAUUCUGACCUCUAUGAAUAAACUUUUGCUACUUCCCUUAAUGAUCAUCAUACAAUAAGAAUUUCUUUCAUAAUGGCGAAUAUUGAUCUAUAUUAUUUCUUGGUAAAUUUACACGGUUCAUAUGCACUGUUUAUUGUAUAUGUGGUUCCUUAGAGUUAUGAAGACCAUAGGAAGGCUUCAUUCCAAAUUAUUAUUUUAUCCAAAAUAUCAUUUCGCUAUACUUGAUCUUUGCAUUGUAAACCGCGUUUUGCAAAAUAAUUACUCUUAGAUAUUUGAUCGAUAACUUUCUUGAAAAGAAUCGAUUUCCUUUUUAAUGGUAUACAUGGUUUUGUUGUAACCAUGUCAAAACUUUCUUGAACCCGUUUUGUUUAAACAAAGUUCAAUCAUUUUGAACUUGCUCACAUUUCGUAUUCAAUUCAAAGUCCCAUAUGAUAUUUUAAGCCAUCAUAUUCAAAAUCGAAAUAAUCCCAAUAAGC
RNAcentral lists this long non-coding RNA (3542 nucleotides) under Helianthus annuus (common sunflower). RNAcentral's name for it is "hypothetical non coding rna". The record is from RNAcentral. Lineage: Eukaryota; Viridiplantae; Streptophyta; Magnoliopsida; Asterales; Asteraceae.